ACGGCUCAGUAACACGUGGAUAACCUGCCCUUGGGUCCGGCAUAACCCCGGGAAACUGGGGAUAAUUCCGGAUAACGCACAUAUGCUGGAAUGCUUUAUGCGUAAAAUGGAUUCGUCUGCCCAAGGAUGGGUCUGCGGCCUAUCAGGUAGUAGUGGGUGUAAUGUACCUACUAGCCAACAACGGGUACGGGUUGUGAGAGCAAGAGCCCGGAGAUGGAUUCUGAGACAUGAAUCCAGGCCCUACGGGGCGCAGCAGGCGCGAAAACUUUACAAUGCGGGAAACCGUGAUAAGGGGACACCGAGUGCCAGCAUCAUAUGCUGGCUGUCCAGGUGUGUAAAAUACACCUGUCAGCAAGGGCCGGGCAAGACCGGUGCCAGCCGCCGCGGUAACACCGGCGGCCCGAGUGGUGAUCGUGAUUAUUGGGUCUAAAGGGUCCGUAGCCGGUUUGGUCAGUCCUCCGGGAAAUCUGACGGCUCAACCGUUAGGCUUUCGGGGGAUACUGCCAGGCUUGGAACCGGGAGAGGUAAGAGGUACUACAGGGGUAGGAGUGAAAUCUUGUAAUCCCUGUGAGACCACCUGUGGCGAAGGCGUCUUACCAGAACGGGUUCGACGGUGAGGGACGAAAGCUGGGGGCACGAACCGGAUUAGAUACCCGGGUAGUCCCAGCCGUAAACGAUGCUCGCUAGGUGUCAGGCAUGGCGCGACCGUGUCUGGUGCCGCAGGGAAGCCGUGAAGCGAGCCACCUGGGAAGUACGGCCGCAAGGCUGAAACUUAAAGGAAUUGGCGGGGGAGCACAAU
RNAcentral lists this ribosomal RNA (799 nucleotides) under uncultured archaeon. RNAcentral's name for it is "bacterial SSU rRNA". It matches the Rfam family "Archaeal small subunit ribosomal RNA", at positions 85 to 882 of the family's 1478-position model. The record is from RNAcentral.